This 446-nucleotide small RNA is filed under the name Pan troglodytes (chimpanzee). Its description in RNAcentral is "processed transcript". Lineage: Eukaryota; Metazoa; Chordata; Mammalia; Primates; Hominidae. The record is from RNAcentral.
UAUUUGAGGCUGACUGGGGAGAAAGCUGCCUGGAGGAAGCUGCUGGGGUGCGGGGGGCUGAGGGAUUUGGCUCCCCGCCCUCUCCCCUGGAUGGCGGAGAAAUCGGGCUAGCUGGAAGGGCGCAGAUCCUCUCCCAGAGCUCAUUCCGGAGUCGGAGAACUGGGAGAGCGGCCCCCGAGGCGGAGCCUCCCUCCCGCCCCGAGUCCCGCUGCCCCCCACCUGGGGGAGAGGGGCGGGCGCCGCGCUGCCUUCCCUCCGCGCCUCGGCCGCGUGGCUUGCGGCUUAUUUUCCCAGCUGGCAAGCGUCGCGCUGCAGACAAGGGAAUGCCUGUGGGAAGGCUGCACUGGUUUCCUGAGAUAAAUGGACAGGAAGCGCAUUACCUCCGCGCGCUGGCAAGCGGCUCCCAAAUGCUUUUUGCACCUGCCGUUUUGAGCGGUGAGAGCAGC